Molecule: ribosomal RNA, 451 nt
Filed under: uncultured bacterium
Lineage: Bacteria
Description: bacterial SSU rRNA
Rfam family: Bacterial small subunit ribosomal RNA
Source: RNAcentral
AACGAACGCUGGCGGCAUGCCUAACACAUGCAAGUCGAACGAGACCUUCGGGUCUAGUGGCGCACGGGUGCGUAACGCGUGGGAAUCUGCCCUUGGGUCCGGAAUAACUCAGAGAAAUUUGAGCUAAUACCGGAUGAUGACGUAAGUCCAAAGAUUUAUCGCCCAGGGAUGAGCCCGCGUAGGAUUAGCUAGUUGGUGAGGUAAAGGCUCACCAAGGCGACGAUCCUUAGCUGGUCUGAGAGGAUGAUCAGCCACACUGGGACUGAGACACGGCCCAGACUCCUACGGGAGGCAGCAGUGGGGAAGUAUUGGACAAUGGGCGAAAGCCUGAUCCAGCAAUGCCGCGUGAGUGAUGAAGGCCUUAGGGUUGUAAAGCUCUUUUACCCGGGAUGAUAAUGACAGUACCGGGAGAAUAAGCCCCGGCUAACUCCGUGCCAGCAGCCGCAGUAAC